Molecule: long non-coding RNA, 756 nt
Organism: Lagopus muta (rock ptarmigan)
Lineage: Eukaryota; Metazoa; Chordata; Aves; Galliformes; Phasianidae
Exons: 4
Source: RefSeq, a predicted model, not a curated record
CCUCAAAACCUGUCAGUGAUCUCUGACAUAUACUUCUGGAAUUUCUUAUUUCACAAACGCUAUUCAACUUCACCAUAAACUAUCUUCAUAAUAACAGUUUAGAAAUCAAAACAAACCAGAUUUGGCAGAUUAUGAAGAAUGUAAUUUUCUUCUCCAGGAAAGGUGAAGGUGACAAGUGUGGCUUAAUCCACAUAGAAAUGACUUCCAGGAAAAUCUGUUCCUGCAGAGCUCACACGCAUAGCAAAGCAGAGAAUAAACCCUGUGAGUCAAUCCCCCUUCUGAAUCUCAACAUAUAGGCUACAGAGAGCUGCUAUCAAGUUGCAAUAUGAUGGCUUCAUUUUUGUGGACAGGGGAUGCAGUGACUCAUUGGCAUAUUUGCAGCACAAGACGCAUUUGAAUAAUACAUGACAUGCCCUUUAGCUAGCAUCACAAUGCCAGAUUUAAAACAAGGUAGCCCCUUCUAAAGAUCUACACUUGUACAGAAGAUAAGCAGGUUAUGGAGACAGUCAUAAUACCUACAUUUAGCUGCAUGGAUACCUUUAAAAGAGUGAGAAAAUGCAUGUACCUAAGACAGGGCUGAAGGAACAGCUUUGGAAAUACAUCUAUCACGCUAAAACAAACAGCUUCUUUGUUUGACUUCAGAGAACUGAAGAGAAUCACCACACAUCCUGCAUCACUCCUGGAUUUCCCUAAGACAGCACUGUAAUUUCAAGUAAGACUUCUAAAACUUUUUGUGCUAUACUUAUUUAUGUUAUC